GGGUUGUGAGGUUAAGCGACUAAGCGUACACGGUGGAUGCCCUGGCAGUCAGAGGCGAUGAAGGACGUGCUAAUCUGCGAUAAGCGUCGGUAAGGUGAUAUGAACCGUUAUAACCGGCGAUUUCCGAAUGGGGAAACCCAGUGUGAUUCGUCACACUAUCAUUAACUGAAUCCAUAGGUUAAUGAGGCGAACCGGGGGAACUGAAACAUCUAAGUACCCCGAGGAAAAGAAAUCAACCGAGAUUCCCCCAGUAGCGGCGAGCGAACGGGGAGCAGCCCAGAGCCUGAAUCAGUGUGUGUGUUAGUGGAAGCGUCUGGAAAGGCGCGCGAUACAGGGUGACAGCCCCGUACACAAAAAUGCACAUGCUGUGAGCUCGAUGAGUAGGG
Molecule: ribosomal RNA, 386 nt
Filed under: Escherichia coli
Lineage: Bacteria; Pseudomonadati; Pseudomonadota; Gammaproteobacteria; Enterobacterales; Enterobacteriaceae
Description: partial 23S ribosomal RNA
Rfam family: Bacterial large subunit ribosomal RNA
Source: RNAcentral